This is a long non-coding RNA of Astatotilapia calliptera (eastern happy), 1647 nucleotides long. NCBI's taxonomy places the organism in Eukaryota, Metazoa, Chordata, Actinopteri, Cichliformes, Cichlidae. The record is from Ensembl.
CUGUAACAUACUGUACAAGGCAUAAUUUCAGCUGGAUCUACUGUAUAAUGCAAUAUACUCCAUUGGCACACAGAGAGUCGUCAACACUGUCUGUGUCAACAGCCUUCAAACCAUGAAGGCUUAGUGUAGCAAUGUUUUUACUAAAGAGUGUUUCUCUUUAAAUACAGAACGUAAGAGUGAAAGUAAACUGCAUAAAAAUGUUGAUGAUAUUGAAACUCAGACAUCCUCUUCAGAAAGCCUUAAUGUUUGGCAUGAUUGUAGCUAAAAUACUUAUUCUUAGAGCCUGGAAAUCACCAUCUCCUCCAUUGUUCAGGGUUUGGCUACGUGAGAUGAUUGCUUGUUUGUAUAUUGAAGAGGUUCGUUAUCGUUUGGCUGACACCCAUUUUAAGUUUGUCGGAAUCUGGGGCCCUUUUCUCAAUCAUAUUAAUGUGAAUUCAACAUAAACUUUAACCCAUUUGACUGCACUUUGUGUUUUUGUGAAACUGCACUUCUGUCGGGCCCUGAUUCCUUCCUGGACUUGUUUCCCACAUUUUUUGGUCUUGGUGAACUCUCUGUUGCCCUGUCUAAACUCACACAGAAGAUCAUCUUCUUUGUACAAUGGUGUUUCUUUUGAACUUUUGAAUUGUACUGGCUAACCGGUGUAUUUUAUUUUAUUUUUUUUUUAUUCAUUUAAUUAUUUAUUUAUUUAUUUUUUAUUUAUAUAAUUUUUUUUCCUUUUCUUUCCUGUUUUCCUGUUGGGUUUUUUUUGUUGCGUGUUUGGUUUCUGGUUUCUGGUUUUUCUUUUCUUUUUUUUCUGUGCUUAAAUGUUAUUGUUUUUGAAUCUUAUGUCCUUUGUCUGGUGUGACGUUAUGUAACUUUGAACUUAAAAUCUUAUAAAUAAACAUUUAAAAAAAAUGUUGAUGAUGUUUUAAAAUCCUUCCAAUGUGUACACUAAGGGUGUGCUGAGUAUCUGUCAGGAAGCUUUAAAGAUGCAGGUUUUAUUACAUCUGAAGGUGACUAAGUCCCCAGGAAUUUAUACUAGUCAGUAAUGUAAACAGUCAUGUCAUUUAUUCCUCCUGGGAAAUCAUCAGGUGACUUCACAAUGAUCUGGUUUUGUCGACUUGGAAAGCUGCGAGAGGAGCCACCACAGAGACUGAUCAUGUUGUCAAGUUGAAAGAACAUUUACUGCUAACAAGUCACCUGACCCAAGUAAACAGUUCUGCCUUUAUCUAAGAUCUGAAAAGUGGUGCCUUUUAUCCAUUUAACAUUAGGAAGAGAUUGCAACUUUGUGGUGUAUCUAGUCUGGUAACAGUCAAGAAAAAUAGGCACUUAGUUUGCACAUGCUGUUUCAUCUCUGUCACAAACGCUCAGAUUUAUUGGCACAUAAAAAUAAACAUAUUUAGUUUGCUACACUCAGCAGUAACUGUGGUAAGAAACUGCUUUUGGAUAGUUAAUUUAACAAUAAUAAAGUACAAGUACAGACCAAUAACCACAACAAAAUAAACAUUUAUUUUAGGUUGAGCUUUGCAGAAAUUGCCAUGUUUGUCUGACAAGAAAAGUCAAACUGUGAACAAGAAUUUACCUUCUUUGAUCUGGAUAACCAUCUAUUAUAUUUUAUCUUUCUAUUUUUUUUAAUCAAAACAAUCAAAAACUGUUGGUAUCUUUACU